Molecule: ribosomal RNA, 530 nt
Filed under: uncultured Methylophilaceae bacterium
Lineage: Bacteria; Pseudomonadati; Pseudomonadota; Betaproteobacteria; Nitrosomonadales; Methylophilaceae
Description: bacterial SSU rRNA
Rfam family: Bacterial small subunit ribosomal RNA
Source: RNAcentral
UGAUCCAGCCAUUCCGCGUGAGUGAAGAAGGCCUUCGGGUUGUAAAGCUCUUUCGCAAGGGAAGAAAACUUAUGAUCGAAUAAAUCAUGAGGUUGACGGUACCUUGAUAAGAAGCACCGGCUAACUACGUGCCAGCAGCCGCGGUAAUACGUAGGGUGCGAGCGUUAAUCGGAAUUACUGGGCGUAAAGCGUGCGCAGGCGGUUUUGUAAGUCGGAUGUGAAAUCCCCGGGCUCAACCUGGGAACUGCGUUCGAAACUGCAAGGCUAGAGUGUGUCAGAGGGGGGUAGAAUUCCACGUGUAGCAGUGAAAUGCGUAGAGAUGUGGAGGAAUACCAAUGGCGAAGGCAGCCCCCUGGGAUAACACUGACGCUCAUGCACGAAAGCGUGGGGAGCAAACAGGAUUAGAUACCCUGGUAGUCCACGCCCUAAACGAUGUCAACUAGUUGUUGGUAGAGUAAAAUCUAUGAGUAACGUAGCUAACGCGUGAAGUUGACCGCCUGGGGAGUACGGUCGCAAGAUUAAAACUAAGG